GUUUUUUCAAAAUAGGGUUUCCUCCAGAUACAGACCCUGGAGUGGGACUGCCAGAUCAUAGGGUAGCCCUAUUUUUAGAUUAAAAAAUUUUCCAGAUUGUUCUCUAUGGUGGCUGUUAGCAGUUUACAUCCCCGCCAACAGUGUAGGACAGCUUCGUCUUCUCCUGUCCCCCUUACCAGAAUUUAUUUUUCGUAGGUGUGGACGUCCUUGCGCCCUGACUUUCUAGAUGCUGGUCUCUUCAAAGGGUUUUCCGUCACAAGCUCCGUGGCAGCACGUCAUAGCCCCGGGAGCGCUCUGACAUCCCGAAGUAGCUCUGGGCAAACUGAAGCCUUGGGUGAUGGCUGCCAGCGCGCUGGGGUCUUGUGUGGUGGGCUUGUGUUGGAGGUUCCCCUUUAGUUCCCCAGUGGGAACACAGAGGAGGGCUUCAUAUUACUGGGAGCAGACGGAGCGGUGCUUCACGGAGAAGGUGCUCCAGGCGGCGAAGGUCAAGUCCUCCUGGAGCAGCUCUUCGGAGGGGAGCUCCCCCAAUCGCAGCUGGCUCCUGGAGCGCAGUGCUGUGGCCGCCCCCAGCGCUGUGUGGGAUUCAGGGGUCCAGCAAUCCCAAGUGCCUGAGAGCCCGAGGAGGAGGAGGCUGUGUCCUGGGGCUCAUCCCGCCGCAGCAGCUCCUCCUCCUCCCAUCCGUCUGCCCCGGGAGUGGGUGGGGCCCCCUCUGAAGGAGGCCUGA
Molecule: long non-coding RNA, 724 nt
Filed under: Cervus hanglu yarkandensis (Yarkand deer)
Lineage: Eukaryota; Metazoa; Chordata; Mammalia; Artiodactyla; Cervidae
Description: lncRNA (ENSCHYG00000020687.1)
Source: RNAcentral